RNAcentral lists this ribosomal RNA (508 nucleotides) under uncultured bacterium. Its description in RNAcentral is "partial 16S ribosomal RNA". It matches the Rfam family "Bacterial small subunit ribosomal RNA", at positions 28 to 523 of the family's 1533-position model. The record is from RNAcentral.
GAUGAACGCUAGCUACAGGCUUAACACAUGCAAGUCGAGGGGAAACGAUAUUGGAAGCUUGCUUCCGAUAGGCGUCGACCGGCGCACGGGUGAGUAACGCGUAUCCAACCUGCCCAUCACUUGGGGAUAACCUUGCGAAAGUAAGACUAAUACCCAAUGACGUCUCUAGAAGACAUCUGAAAGAGAUUAAAGAUUUAUCGGUGAUGGAUGGGGAUGCGUCUGAUUAGCUUGUUGGCGGGGUAACGGCCCACCAAGGCGACGAUCAGUAGGGGUGCUGAGAGGAAGAUCCCCCACAUGGGAACGGAGACACGGUCCAAACUCCUACGGGAGGCAGCAGUGAGGAAUAUUGGUCAAUGGGCAGGAGCCUGAACCAGCCAAGUAGCGUGCAGGAUGACGGCCCUAUGGGUUGUAAACUGCUUUUAUAAGGGAAUAAAGUGAGCCACGUGUGGCUUUUUGCAUGUACCUUAUGAAUAAGGACCGGCUAAUUCCGUGCCAGCAGCCGCCGUAA